GCCUAUUGUACAAAGGUAUUCUUCUACAACAGGCCCGCAUAGCCCAUUGUAGAACAGGGUUUUCAUCGGGUGGCACUCAAAAAAAUUCAUUUCUCCUCCCAAACUUCGUACGCAUCAAUCAACCAAAACACCCCUCUCUCUUGAAUCCAUAUGAAACCUUAAUCCUUUCUAAGUCCAAGCACGAAUUUUUUGGGAGCUUCGUCUUUGGCGAGUUUCACCUCCAGAGGAAAAUUGCCCAGCAACAAAAGACACAGAAAAAACCCGCAGAAGAUACCAUCAUCUGUAGGCCAAUUAGGGUUUCCGUACUGGAGUCCAGUUCGUCGACGGUUCGGUCCCGACGCCCCUUUCUUCGCAUCUGGAAAUAUUGAAAGAGAACUUCUAGCCAAACAGGUUGCAUUGGAUUUAACUGAAGACAAGAAGCAACAGCUUCAAAUUGUGGAAGAUGAGGAUGGCAGAUUUUAUCCACAUCUUUUAUUGCACGGACAACAAUACAUAGAAAUUUACAAGGCACUUCCUUCUAAUGGUUGUUUAUGUUUAGCUGCUUGGAGUCUUGCCAUGAAUGCUUUGGAGGGAAAGUUUUUGCAAUCUGAGUGUGAUGGGAAAUGCCCUGGUUGUGUUGGUAUUGAAACUUGUCUAAUCCUUGCACAGAUGGUAACAAUGAAGGGAACUUUGUAAUCUUUAAUGAAUAUAAAAUAAAUUUGGAAUC
Cornus florida is the source of this 706-nucleotide long non-coding RNA. RefSeq lists it as uncharacterized. The transcript is spliced from 5 exons. NCBI's taxonomy places the organism in Eukaryota, Viridiplantae, Streptophyta, Magnoliopsida, Cornales, Cornaceae. The record is from RefSeq and is a predicted model, not a curated record.